UACUGAGCGUAUUGGAACGUUAUCGAUAAGAAGAGAGCGUCUAGGCGAACAAUGUUCUUAAAGUUUGACCUCAAAUCAGGUAGGAGUACCCGCUGAACUUAAGCAUAUCAAUAAGCGGAGGAAAAGAAACCAACCGGGAUUGCCUUAGUAACGGCGAGUGAAGCGGCAAAAGCUCAAAUUUGAAAUCUGGUACCUUCGGUGCCCGAGUUGUAAUUUGGAGAGGGCAACUUUGGGGCCGUUCCUUGUCUAUGUUCCUUGGAACAGGACGUCAUAGAGGGUGAGAAUCCCGUGUGGCGAGGAGUGCGGUUCUUUGUAAAGUGCCUUCGAAGAGUCGAGUUGUUUGGGAAUGCAGCUCUAAGUGGGUGGUAAAUUCCAUCUAAAGCUAAAUAUUGGCGAGAGACCGAUAGCGAACAAGUACAGUGAUGGAAAGAUGAAAAGAACUUUGAAAAGAGAGUGAAAAAGUACGUGAAAUUGUUGAAAGGGAAGGGCAUUUGAUCAGACAUGGUGUUUUGUGCCCUCUGCUCCUUGUGGGUAGGGGAAUCUCGCAUUUCACUGGGCCAGCAUCAGUUUUGGUGGCAGGAUAAAUCCAUAGGAAUGUAGCUUGCCUCGGUAAGUAUUAUAGCCUGUGGGAAUACUGCCAGCUGGGACUGAGGACUGCGACGUAAGUCAAGGAUGCUGGCAUAAUGGUUAUAUGCCGCCCGUCUUGAAACACGGACCAAGGAGUCUAACGUCUAUGCGAGUGUUUGGGUGUAAAA
Molecule: ribosomal RNA, 755 nt
Filed under: Saccharomyces cerevisiae (brewer's yeast)
Lineage: Eukaryota; Fungi; Ascomycota; Saccharomycetes; Saccharomycetales; Saccharomycetaceae
Description: LSU rRNA
Rfam family: Eukaryotic large subunit ribosomal RNA
Source: RNAcentral